This 305-nucleotide ribosomal RNA is filed under the name uncultured bacterium. RNAcentral describes it as "bacterial SSU rRNA". It matches the Rfam family "Bacterial small subunit ribosomal RNA", at positions 333 to 655 of the family's 1533-position model. The record is from RNAcentral.
UCUCCCCUACGGGGGGCAGCAGUGGGGAAUAUUGCACAAUGGGGGGAACCCUGAUGCAGCGACGCCGCGUGAGCGAUGAAGUAUUUCGGUAUGUAAAGCUCUAUCAGCAGGGAAGAAAAUGACGGUACCUGACUAAGAAGCCCCGGCUAACUACGUGCCAGCAGCCGCGGUAAUACGUAGGGAGCAAGCGUUAUCCGGAUUUAUUGGGUGUAAAGGGUGCGUAGACGGGAAAUUAAGUUAGUUGUGAAAUCCCUCGGCUCAACUGAGGAACUGCAACUAAAACUGAUUUUCUUGAGUGCAGGAGG